RNAcentral lists this ribosomal RNA (253 nucleotides) under uncultured bacterium. Its description in RNAcentral is "partial 16S ribosomal RNA". It matches the Rfam family "Bacterial small subunit ribosomal RNA", at positions 524 to 776 of the family's 1533-position model. The record is from RNAcentral.
UACGUAGGGACCAAGCGUUGUUCGGAUUCAUUGGGCGUAAAGGGCGCGUAGGCGGCGGGGUAAGUCUGGUGUGAAAUCUCGGAGCUCAACUCCGAAAUUGCACUGGAUACUGCUCUGCUAGAGGGCUGGAGAGGAGAUCGGAAUUCACGGUGUAGCAGUGAAAUGCGUAGAUAUCGUGAGGAAGACCAGUGGCGAAGGCGGAUCUCUGGACAGCUCCUGACGCUGAGGCGCGAGGGCUAGGGGAGCAAACGGG